GGCAAUAAAUAAACAUGAAAUGGAAUCGAUCUAAUCAAUCGUAGUUGAAUUAUCAUUCUUAACUUCUAGAAUUGUUUGUAAAAAUUGUAAGAAACAACUUGUUCAGCGAUAUGUCUGAUUUAGCUAAAGAUUUAUUAAUACAAUAUUAUGGGUUUGGUGCAGCAUCGAGUGGUAAAAAGUUUCUCUCGAUACAUCGCAAUAUCGAAAGGGUAAAAGACGAAGACGAAAAACAGGUUACUGAGCAACAUUCUUUAACCACCAAUGAUGAGAAUGUGGCCAAUGAAGAGUUUCAGAAAGACAUUGAGGAGGAUCGAAAACUUAGUAUUGGAGACAAUUUGUAUCCACAAUCCUCGCAAGUUUUAGAUAACUUGGAAGAUACAUAUGACAAUAAUGAAAAUUUCGACAUAAAAGAUAUCGACUUUGGUCCGAAUAUUCUUUGUAACACUCUCGAGAAUGUAUCAUCUAAACAACCAUAUGAACAAUUAUCUGAUAUAUCAGAUAUACAUUUACCUGAGCAAUCAACAAAUGAUGUUUCUUCAAAUUAUAUUAAAAUAAAUAUUGAAAAUCCAGAAAUAGAAAUAAAAGAUGACAUGAAAGAUGCAAAGAAAGAUGAAUUGGAACUUAUCGAAGACACAUUUUCUGACGAAGUUUCAGAAUAUUCUUCCUUGUCAUGUAAAGAAUCAAAAACAUUUUUGAAGAGUAAUAUAAGUUUAACGUCAAAUGAAUCUAUUUCAUCGCCAUUAGUACCAAAAAAGGAACCUAUUUACAAUGACAUGUUUGCAGAUUUUUCAAAUACAGAUUUAAAACAAUUUCCUAUUGCGAUAUUAAACAACUUUUCACAAUUAAGGAUGUUAUAUUUGUCAAACAACAAUUUGAUCGAAGUUCCUAAUGAAAUUUUCACUUGUUUAAACUAUCUACAGUGGUUAGACAUCAGAAUAAUCAAAUUACUUUUUUGCCAGUUAGCAUUAAAUGGCAUAGCUGCUUAGAAACGAUUUUACUUCAAGGAAAUAAAAUGAAGGAAUUACCAUUGGAACUUUGCACCCUAUCAAAUCUAAAAAAUCUUCAAAUAGCGGAUAAUCCACUUAUCAUGCCACCGCAAGAUAUCGUAGCUUCCGGUUGUGCUACCAUUUUGGAAUUCUUACGAAUUGAAUGGAAUAAAUUAUAUCCUGAUGAAUGGAUAGAACCCAGAAAAAAUAAAAUUGAACCAAAAUUAUCAACAAUUCUAUGUUAUCAAUCUCCA
Molecule: unclassified non-coding RNA, 1240 nt
Filed under: Apis florea (little honeybee)
Lineage: Eukaryota; Metazoa; Arthropoda; Insecta; Hymenoptera; Apidae
Description: uncharacterized LOC100867601, transcript variant X2
Source: RNAcentral